UGGGGAAUAUUGCACAAUGGGCGCAAGCCUGAUGCAGCCAUGCCGCGUGUGUGUAGAAGGCCUUCGGGUUGUAAAGCACUUUCAGCGGGGAGGAAGGCGAUAAGGUUAAUAACCUCAUCGAUUGACGUUACCCGCAGAAGAAGCACCGGCUAACUCCGUGCCAGCAGCCGCGGUAAUACGGAGGGUGCAAGCGUUAAUCGGAAUUACUGGGCGUAAAGCGCACGCAGGCGGUCUGUCAAGUCGGAUGUGAAAUCCCCGGGCUCAACCUGGGAACUGCAUUCGAAACUGGCAGGCUAGAGUCUUGUAGAGGGGGGUAGAAUUCCAGGUGUAGCGGUGAAAUGCGUAGAGAUCUGGAGGAAUACCGGUGGCGAAGGCGGCCCCCUGGACAAAGACUGACGCUCAGGUGCGAAAGCGUGGGGAGCAAACAGG
RNAcentral lists this ribosomal RNA (429 nucleotides) under Chloroflexota bacterium. Its description in RNAcentral is "Chloroflexi bacterium partial 16S ribosomal RNA". It matches the Rfam family "Bacterial small subunit ribosomal RNA", at positions 355 to 776 of the family's 1533-position model. Lineage: Bacteria; Bacillati; Chloroflexota. The record is from RNAcentral.